RNAcentral lists this ribosomal RNA (497 nucleotides) under uncultured bacterium. RNAcentral describes it as "partial 16S ribosomal RNA". It matches the Rfam family "Bacterial small subunit ribosomal RNA", at positions 28 to 507 of the family's 1533-position model. The record is from RNAcentral.
GAUGAACGCUGGCGGCGUGCCUAAUACAUGCAAGUCGAGCGAACGGACGAGAAGCUUUCUUCUCUGAUGUUAGCGGCGGACGGGUGAGUAACACGUGGAUAAACUACCUAUAAAACUGGGAUAACUUCGGGAAACCGUAGCUAAUACCGGAUAAUAUUUUGAACCGCAUGGUUCAAAAGUGAAAGACGGUCUUGCUGUCACUUAUAGAUGGAUCCGCGCUGCAUUAGCUAGUUGGUAAGGUAACGGCUUAACAAGGCAACGAUGCAUAGCCGACCAGAGAGGGUGAUCUGCCAAACAGGAACUGAGACACAGUCCAGACUCCAGCAGUGAGAAGCAGUAUGGAAUCUUCCGCGAUUGACGAAAGCCUGACGGAGCAACGCCGCGUGAUUGAUGAAGUUCUUCGGAUCGUAAAACUCUGUUAUUAGGGAAGAACAUAUGUGUAAGUAACUGUGAACAUCUUGACGGUACCUAAGCAGAAAGCCACGGCUAACUACGUG